Molecule: ribosomal RNA, 422 nt
Filed under: uncultured bacterium
Lineage: Bacteria
Description: bacterial SSU rRNA
Rfam family: Bacterial small subunit ribosomal RNA
Source: RNAcentral
UAAGGAAUAUUGGUCAAUGGACGCAAGUCUGAACCAGCCAUGCCGCGUGGAGGAUUAAGGCCCUCUGAGUUGUAAGCUCCUUUUAUCUGGGAAGAAAUGUACUUUUUCUUGAGUACUUGACGGUACCAGAGGAAUAAGCACCGGCUAACUCCGUGCCAGCAGCCGCGGUAAUACGGAGGGUGCAAGCGUUAUCCGGAUUCACUGGGUUUAAAGGGUGCGUAGGUGGGCAGGUAAGUCAGUGGUGAAAUCUCCGGGCUUAACCCGGAAACUGCCGUUGAUACUAUUUGUCUUGAAUAUUGUGGAGGUGAGCGGAAUAUGUCAUGUAGCGGUGAAAUGCUUAGAUAUGACAUGGAACACCAAUUGCGAAGGCAGCUUACUACACAAUCAUUGACGCUGAGGCACGAAAGCGUGGGGAUCAAACA